Molecule: non-coding RNA, 678 nt
Organism: Mus caroli (Ryukyu mouse)
Lineage: Eukaryota; Metazoa; Chordata; Mammalia; Rodentia; Muridae
Source: RefSeq, a predicted model, not a curated record
AACCCACAGCUCCCUGAUUGAGCUAACCUGGCAAGUUACCUUGCUCUAGGGAUGUUCUGCUACUGUCUUCUGUGUGCUGGGAUUCAGACGAAAAUUAAUGGAGUAAAGUGGAAAGGUAAAGGAGAAAGCUAAAUGAAGGAUGGUCACAGCAAGAUUUUUUUUCUGUGGCAGUCACAGCCUUGGGAUCUCAGAAGAACAUCAUGAAGGUUUGUGGAGAUGGGUGUAUAGACAGGAACCUAGCAUAACUGUUCUUUGAGAGGCUCCACCAAGCAGUUGACUAAAACAGAUACAGAUACCCAGAGCCAAACAUUGGAUAGAGGUUGGGGACCUUAUGGAAGAGUUGGGAGAAUGAUUGAAGGCCCUGAAGAGGAUAGGAACCCCACAGGGACACCAACACUGUCAUCUAACCUGGACCCCUGGGGGUUCUCAGAGACUGAGCCAUCAACCAAAGAGCCAACACAGGCUGAACUGAAGUCCCAGAUAGAUGCUUUGUUCAGCCUCAGUGGGAGAGGACACACCUAAAGCUGCAAAGACUUGAUGUGCCAGGGUGGGAGGGGUACCUGGGGGGGCACUCACACAUAGAGGAAGAGGUAGGAGUAGGGACUCUGUGAGAGGGGGGACUGGGAAGGAGGCAGAGUUUGGGAUGUAAAUAAAUAAAUAAAUAAAUAAAUAAAUAAA